RNAcentral lists this ribosomal RNA (439 nucleotides) under uncultured Parvimonas sp. RNAcentral's name for it is "bacterial SSU rRNA". It matches the Rfam family "Bacterial small subunit ribosomal RNA", at positions 338 to 795 of the family's 1533-position model. Lineage: Bacteria; Bacillati; Bacillota; Tissierellia; Tissierellales; Peptoniphilaceae. The record is from RNAcentral.
CCUACGGGGGGCAGCAGUGGGGAAUAUUGCACAAUGGGGGAAACCCUGAUGCAGCGACGCCGCGUGAGCGAAGAAGGUUUUCGAAUCGUAAAGCUCUGUCCUAUGAGAAGAUAAUGACGGUAUCAUAGGAGGAAGCCCCGGCUAAAUACGUGCCAGCAGCCGCGGUAAUACGUAUGGGGCGAGCGUUGUCCGGAAUUAUUGGGCGUAAAGGGUACGUAGGCGGCCUUUUAAGUCAGGUGUGAAAGCGUGAGGCUUAACCUCAUUAAGCACUUGAAACUGGAAGGCUUGAGUGAAGGAGAGGAAAGUGGAAUUCCUAGUGUAGCGGUGAAAUGCGUAGAUAUUAGGAGGAAUACCGGUGGCGAAGGCGACUUUCUGGACUUUUACUGACGCUCAGGUACGAAAGCGUGGGGAGCAAACAGGAUUAGAUACCCUGGUAGUC